Molecule: ribosomal RNA, 497 nt
Filed under: uncultured bacterium
Lineage: Bacteria
Description: partial 16S ribosomal RNA
Rfam family: Bacterial small subunit ribosomal RNA
Source: RNAcentral
GAUGAACGCUGGCGGCGUGCCUAAUACAUGCAAGUCGAGCGAACAGACGAGGAUCUUGCUCCUCUGACGUGUGCGGCGGACGGGUGAGUAACACGUGGAUAACCUACCUAUAAGACUGGGAUAACUUGGGGAAACCGGAGCAAAUAGCGGAUAAUAUACUGAACCGCAGGGGUGGAUGGUGAAAGUCGGCGGUUGUGUCUGUUAUAGAUGGAUCUCCGCCGCAUUAGGUAGUUGGGAAGUAAAAGGGUUAUCAAGGCAAGCAUGCCUAAACGACGUGCGGGGGUGGUCGGCCACACUGGAACGGAGACGCCGUCCAGACUCCUACGGGAGGCAGCAGUAGGGAAUCUUCCGCAAUGGGCGAAAGCCUGACGGAGCAACGGCGCGUGAGUGAUGGAAGUCUUCGGAUCGUAAAACUCUGUUAUUAGUGAAGAACCAAUGUGUAAGUAACUAUGCACGUCGUGACGGUACCUAAUCAGAAAGCCACGGCUAACUACGUG